UACGGGGGGGGCAAGCGUUGUUCGGAAUUACUGGGCGUAAAGGGCUCGUAGGUGGCCAACUAAGUCAGACGUGAAAUCCCCAGGCUUAACCUGGGAACUGCGUCUGAUACUGGAUGGCUUGAAUUCGGGAGAGGGAUGCAGAAUUCCAGGUGUAGCGGUGAAAUGCGUAGAUAUCUGGAGGAACACCGGUGGCGAAGGCGGCGUUCUGGACUGCAACUGACACUGAGGAACGAAAGCCAGGGGAGCAAACGGG
RNAcentral lists this ribosomal RNA (253 nucleotides) under uncultured bacterium. Its description in RNAcentral is "partial 16S ribosomal RNA". It matches the Rfam family "Bacterial small subunit ribosomal RNA", at positions 524 to 776 of the family's 1533-position model. The record is from RNAcentral.